CGGGAUGUAGCGCAGCCUGGUAGCGCACCUGCUUGGGGUGCAGGUGGUCGUGGGUUCAAAUCCCGCCAUCCCGACCA
This 77-nucleotide transfer RNA is filed under the name Gammaproteobacteria bacterium. RNAcentral's name for it is "tRNA-Pro". It matches the Rfam family "tRNA". From Rfam's summary of the family: Transfer RNA (tRNA) molecules are approximately 80 nucleotides in length. Their secondary structure includes four short double-helical elements and three loops (D, anti-codon, and T loops). Further hydrogen bonds mediate the characteristic L-shaped molecular structure. tRNAs have two regions of fundamental functional importance: the anti-codon, which is responsible for specific mRNA codon recognition, and the 3' end, to which the tRNAs corresponding amino acid is attached (by aminoacyl-tRNA synthetases). tRNAs cope with the degeneracy of the genetic code in two manners: having more than one tRNA (with a specific anti-codon) for a particular amino acid; and 'wobble' base-pairing, i.e. permitting non-standard base-pairing at the 3rd anti-codon position. RNAcentral also lists the same sequence under 4 other names. The record is from RNAcentral. Lineage: Bacteria; Pseudomonadati; Pseudomonadota; Gammaproteobacteria.